This 89-nucleotide ribosomal RNA is filed under the name Mammaliicoccus sciuri. RNAcentral also lists the same sequence under 1 other name. The record is from RNAcentral. Lineage: Bacteria; Bacillati; Bacillota; Bacilli; Caryophanales; Staphylococcaceae.
ACCUGUUCCCAUGCCGAACACAGAAGUUAAGCUCUUUAGCGCCGAUGGUAGUUGGGCUUACGUUCCGCGAGAGUAGGACGUUGCCGGGC